This 23-nucleotide microRNA is filed under the name Xenopus laevis (African clawed frog). RNAcentral describes it as "xla-miR-5148". The record is from RNAcentral. Lineage: Eukaryota; Metazoa; Chordata; Amphibia; Anura; Pipidae.
UGCAGUCUGAGGGAUGGAGUGGA